AUUAAAUAUUUUAUUUCGUUUCAUAUAAUCAUAAUAAUAUGGAUUAUGAGUUUCUAGGCUUUACCUUAAAUAAAGCUACUAUGAAAUUACAAUUGGAUACA
Non-coding RNA from Salinicoccus halodurans, 101 nucleotides. NCBI's taxonomy places the organism in Bacteria, Bacillati, Bacillota, Bacilli, Caryophanales, Staphylococcaceae. The record is from Rfam.